Molecule: long non-coding RNA, 4607 nt
Organism: Gasterosteus aculeatus aculeatus (three-spined stickleback)
Lineage: Eukaryota; Metazoa; Chordata; Actinopteri; Perciformes; Gasterosteidae
Source: Ensembl
GAAUAUGACUUUGUAGAGUAAGGAAUAACUCAAAAGUUGUUUUUGGACUGUUGAACAUCUUUAUGAGCCGGUUUGUCCACUGGUGUUAAGCCACCAGCGUGGGUAAGGUUCGGUGACGAGGUGUAGCCUUCGGGGACCGCAUCUACUGUGGCAGAAGACAUGAAGUCCGAGAAACGUCUCAAAGACACGUCGAAUACGCCGAGUCGCUGAGCGGGACCGUUGGAUUUUGUUAAUUAGAGCGAUGGAGAAGAGCUACGCAGAACUACAGGCUGCAGGUAGUAGAGGUCGAGAUGACAUCUGAGAUUUUGCUGUCCAUUGGACCCACAUAAGGUGCGAUGGAGAUCUCGUGGAUUGUGACUCAGAAAUAAAUGGCACAAUGUUUGGAUUCUUCAGGCUGAAGACGUCAAGGAUAUUCAGCUGAGCUCAAAGGUGACUGCGCUCUCUCCUUUCAAGCGUCAAAAUAUCUGCCAUCUUGUUAUACGGGCUAUAUUUUAUGAUUCCUGCGCUAUGGAUCAGCGGUCUUUGCCUCCUUUUUCUCAGUGAAUUCUCUAUGAACGGGUUUGUAUAUUUGAGUGACAUUGCCUCUGACAAAUGAUGAAGGAUGGAAGGAGACACAGGGAGACAUUCUCAGCUAAUGAAAUUGUCUGACCCACAUCUUUUAGUGCUAUCCAUUUCUCCAAAGACACAGAAAGGGCAUUUAUGCAGGUAAACCAUGACUGGUCCCUGAAGUGAAAGAGGGUUGUUUCUGAAGGAAGAGUAGCAUCCAUUAUUUACUAUACCAGGGUUGCUAGACACUUAGGGGGUAAUGCAGUGUUUCAAGCAUACAAAACAGAACCUUUUUGGUGCUGGUGAGGAUAUUGUUGUGUGUUUGGAACAUGUCUGUUUCCAUCCAUACUGACAGAUGAAAAAGAAUAUGUCUCCCGAAGGUUCAGAAGCAUGGGCGGAGAUAUAAAGAGCGAGUAGGGGAGGGACAGAAAUGAUGGUGGAGGGAUGUGUUUGUGUUUGUGUCUGUGUCAGUCAUCACUGCAAGCGGGCAUUUUUCGUAUUAACGUCCGUAUAUUUAUCUUUGACUGUUUUUGUGCACCAAGUCUGUUUGUUUGCAUACCUUUGUGUCCAAAGUCACCCCAGUCCUAGAUUAUAUAAUGCAAGUAGUCCUACACGUGUUUACACAUGUAUGUGUAUUAAUCAGGUUUCUCCUCAACUGAGUCUGUGUCACCUGCCUCUUGGUGCCAGUUGUGAUACUUUGGUUUAGUCGUACUCUCUGCAGAUCGGCAGCAGCAGCAGCAGUCCCCUCCUCAUGGAGAGUGGAAGCAUCUGACUAGAGUCCACUGGGAGUAGUUAGCAGAAGAAGUGCAAGACAUUCAACUAUUCCACCCUGUUAUCAGACUUGCGCACCACAAGGCACCACUUGUCAAUUUUCCAGGGGACACCUUGACAUCAAAUCCUCUAUUUUUAUCGGAGGUUGCAUGACAACUAUCCAUGUUUGUAGAUCUGGUCUGGGAAAACCGGGGCCUACUCAAAUUGACCAAUGCGGUGCGAUUUGAAUGACAAAAUAUAUUUUUACAAUUGCAUCAUGUCUUGAAAAUGAUUAGAUUUAAGUAGUAUUCUUAUUUUCAUUUGUUGCUAUUGUUCUUUGAGUGGCAAAUACAUAUCCAUUAAUCUUCACCAGUCUCACUGCAAAAGCGCCAGAACAAUGCCCCUACAAAACACAGAUUGUGCGGAGCAAUACAAAAAUUGAUGAUCAAAACAUUUCAACCACCAAACAACAACAACCACUUCGGAUCAGUCAAAUUGGGUCCAUUUGGCAAUCAAAAGGAGAGCAGUUAACCUUAUAAGAAAAACAUAUUCCAGUGCCCUGUGGGCCUGCUAUAAAGCAACAUCUAGAAAUAUCUCAACACGUCUACCUCUGCAGUCGAUUUUUUCAAUAGAAGAACCGCCCCAAGUUGUAAGAGGCGACUAUAUUUUUUCUUCACACCCAUUAUCCUGUUUUGAAAGGUCGGCUAAGACAGAAGACUUGCAUACCGGUCCAUUUUUGAGUUAAAGAAAAAUGUAAAGCGCCUGAGAGGCAAAAUAAUUAUUUUACAUGUAAUAUAGAAGAAAAUACAUCUGCAGCUGAUGUUUUUGUGUAGUAUUUUUUGCACUGGUUUUGUGCAGCAUUGUUGCCGCUAUUUUUAAUUUUUUAAUUCAACUUAAAAACAAGUUUAACUCUAAUUAUCCUGUUCAACAAGCAAAUGCUUUGUUUGAUGAAACCCAAGAAUAAAAGGCACUGAGAAUUAUCAGCAAAGCCGUGAAACACACACACACAAUAUAUGCACAGCCCCAUGCUUUGCACAACUGCUGUAUCAGCAGAGAAGAUGAGGAGGAUGCCAAGAGACGCACAUGCAGCUUUGACGAGGAUCAGCUGCCACAGAUAGGCAGGCAGGCCAAGAAGGCAGCGUGUGCCCUUGAGGUGCUGUGUGCAGGCAGGGUGGUUUGCUUGGCUUGUCUGAAUCCACCUCCUUCAUCUUUUGCACUUGGGUUGAGUUGGGUGUUGAUGUCCCAGGGACCCCCUGCCAACCCUGUAAUGUUUUAUACUGGCAGCCAAACAUCAGAGAAUUUUUUUGAAGGAGACAAUGUGGCCAAAAAAAAAGUACCUUUGUAUUUUUUUUUUAAUCUGUGGAAAACACUGAGGGGAGUUGCUGACUUAUAGCAACUUUGCAGAGAUUUCAACUGUCCGACCGGAUAAAUCAGCAAAUUAAUUUAGAAUAAAUCCUGGAUCCUAAAGUAUGUUGUUGGUUUUCUUUUGCUGUGUUGAGAAGAUAACAACCCCAUUGAAGAUUUUACUGAGGCAGUCGGACAUCCUUGCUGUCUUAAAUGACAACAGCUGUUCUGUGCAGCCUACACAUUCAUGUCGGACCCCGGAAUACCUUUCAUGCUUGUCAACAAGCUUUAUAGUUUCCGAGAAAUGCAAUACGAUAAUGCCUUUCUGGGGGAAGGAGUGUCAGGUAUGGCAGGAGUAAUGGAGAAAGGGCUUGAAGUGCAGGUAACCCAGGUUAGGCCGGGUGUAAAGGGGAUCCGAUAAGGCGUUCCCCAGACCCUACAGGCUCCCAGUCUCUACGCGAGAAUAAUAAGCAGCUGUAACCCUGAGACACUCCCAGGCCUGUGUCCUCAGCUACAAAAAACUUUCACCGUGCGUCUUAUCAGGUUCUAAGGAUAUCACGUAAGACAAUACAUGUGAGAAGUGCAGCGCGAACAAUGGAAGGAAAGUGCAGCGUGAUACGAGGGGGACUAAUGUCAGCGACUAUUGUUGAGGCCUUUGUCAGCGUCAAGUACACACCGGGAACUCACAGCUCACUGAACUCCUUUCAGUCAAGGAUCUUGCUUUAAGAUGUGAUAAAACACGACAAGUGUGCCGUCCCACAGUGAAGGCAGAUUUUACACACAUAAGUUAUGUGUUUCUGUCACAGAAAACAUGCCGCCAACAGGUAGUUGUAAGAUCUCCUCUGGCUGGGAAAAAGGAUUUAGUUUCACUUGUUGUUUCUACAAGAGAAGUUGCUGUAGAAGUUGUUGUGUUACACAGUAUGUGGUCAAGUUUCCCCAACGUUACCUCAUGGACCUUUGAUGUGAUAAUAUGUAAUAAAAAGGAAAUGUUAACAAAGCUCAUCAUGAAAUGUCUUUACAGUUUUUUCAUUAUUGUCUCUCUUUCUCUCGUUAGGUAAACAAGUCAUCCUGAUCAACAAGAGUUUUCAUCGGAAUAGGAGCAUCAAGACACUUAACAUUACUCUGCAACCCUUGAACCUGCACUGUACUUUCCAUUGCUGUUUUUCUGUCAAUUGGUUGCAUACUCCUGCACUACUGGUCAAACAGACUAAUCCUGUGACCAUGCACUAACUGUAACAACCAAUUGUGUUUUAUAUUUUGUUAUUCUAAAUGGGAGAAUACUUAGAAUAAAAAUAUUUCUCACGUUCAAACCCAUUUUCUUUUCAUGUAAUUAUUUGAGUCUAAAAAGUAUAUAUUUUUGGCAGCUUAAUAAAAGCCUUUUCUUCUUUUAACUGAUGUUUUAGUGUGAGUUAUUUCUCUCCUUUCUGUGUAGUGGGUGUGCACUCCAAGUAAAAAACAAUGUGCUUGACAUAAUUGGGUCCUAUUUGGCUAUGAAAAGAGCACGCGUGCUGAUAAAAGCUGGAAGGGUGAUCAAAGCACAAUGCGUCCCGAUCGACAUCAUACGCAUGACAUGGUUGUAGUUUAUCCUGACAGAUUAAUGAAACGUGAGGAAACAGGGGAAACAGGUUCAGACAGUUUCCAAGAAGCCUUCCUGUUCAUAAUCAGCUCCUUUUUAUAUUUUGUGCACGUCCUCUGACUAACAAAUAAAAUGUGCCUGUGUGUGCAUAACAUGGAACAAUUAAAAAACUGCAAUGAUUGGAUGCAUAUUCUCUGCACCUCCUUGUGUUGCCAUUUCCUCUCUGUCAGGUUUAAGUUUGAUCAAAGAAAAGUAGGACAAUUUCUGUGUAGUAUUCAUGGCAAAGUUUUCCUUAAAAAAAUGUAAACUGUAAGACGAAUAAAAAGUAGGAUCCUUUGGGACAGCAGCCUCAUUUGUCUCCCUUUUCUAUCUUUCAUUAGACUCAUCUUUU